Amborella trichopoda is the source of this 889-nucleotide non-coding RNA. Lineage: Eukaryota; Viridiplantae; Streptophyta; Magnoliopsida; Amborellales; Amborellaceae. The record is from RefSeq and is a predicted model, not a curated record.
ACUCAAUAUCGCAUUCACUCUCAAAAAAAUUCAAUCAGCCUCUCUAAAAAUCCAAUAAAAAGCGUUGUCUCUCUCUCUCUUUCUCUCUCUCAUUUUACCCUCGCCCAUUCUCCCUGAACCCAAUCGUUCAAAGUAUCCCACCAAGAACACUCUAACCCUAAAAUCCAUGGCCACCUGGGUAGAAAACUCAAGAACAGAGACCCCAAAAGAACCCAAUUCUUCAUUUGAAGCAGACCAACAAGCUGACUCUCCCUCUCAAUUCGUCAAAUUCUCGAGACCCAGGUUCUCAGAUCUCCUCUCUUGCACCCCAAGCAAGCCCCAAACCCUAAUUUCCUUCAUUUUCUUAAUUAUUUAUUUUCACUUUUGGGUGAUGGUUUUUCCUUCAUUUUUUGAUUUUUAUCCUUCUGUAAUUGCACACAAUAGAAGCAUGGCAUUCUUGGGGAGAUGAGAACAACCAUGGUUCUCAGCUAAUGGGCAUCGAUCAGAUUAAUCAUCGAUGUCAAUGGAGCCAUCUUUCAUCUUCACAGGGUCUCUCUCUCUUGAAAUCUUAUAACAAAAUUGAUUACUUAAGCAAGUUGAUCUGAAACCCAAUUGAUCUCUUCACCCAUUUUAACUUUGAUUUUGCAGGGCCCUCUGGUAUCCAUGUCUGCUAAACUAGCAAACAUGCUCAUGAACAAAAAUCCUAGAAUCCCCACCUGCAUUACUUUCUCCGAGUGCCCGGGCGGCGCUGAACUCUUCGAGCUAGCCAUGAAAUUAUGUUAUUCCCAAAAAUCCAAUGUAACUCCCAAUACAUACACCCCACAUAAAUCACCUGUAAUAAUCAUGUUUCUUCCACUCCAUUUUGUACAUUAAAGUACAAAACUUUCAAAAAGUUAAGCUUAUUUCUUUC